UACGUAGGGUGCAAGCGUUGUCCGGAAUUAUUGGGCGUAAAGGGCUCGUAGGCGGUUUGUCGCGUCGGGAGUGAAAACUCAGGGCUUAACCCUGAGCCUGCUUCCGAUACGGGCAGACUAGAGGUAUGCAGGGGAGAAUGGAAUUCCUGGUGUAGCGGUGAAAUGCGCAGAUAUCAGGAGGAACACCGAUUGCGAAGGCAGCUCGCUGGGACGUUACUGACGCUGAGACGCGAAAGCGUGGGGAGCAAACAGG
This 253-nucleotide ribosomal RNA is filed under the name uncultured bacterium. RNAcentral describes it as "partial 16S ribosomal RNA". It matches the Rfam family "Bacterial small subunit ribosomal RNA", at positions 524 to 776 of the family's 1533-position model. The record is from RNAcentral.